Molecule: ribosomal RNA, 1058 nt
Filed under: Salmonella enterica subsp. enterica
Lineage: Bacteria; Pseudomonadati; Pseudomonadota; Gammaproteobacteria; Enterobacterales; Enterobacteriaceae
Description: partial 23S ribosomal RNA
Rfam family: Bacterial large subunit ribosomal RNA
Source: RNAcentral
GUGAAGGUGGCCUGUGAGGGUUGCUGGAGGUAUCAGAAGUGCGAAUGCUGACAUAAGUAACGAUAAAGCGGGUGAAAAGCCCGCUCGCCGGAAGACCAAGGGUUCCUGUCCAACGUUAAUCGGGGCAGGGUGAGUCGACCCCUAAGGCGAGGCCGAAAGGCGUAGUCGAUGGGAAACGGGUUAAUAUUCCCGUACUUGGUGUUACUGCGAAGGGGGGACGGAGAAGGCUAUGUUGGCCGGGCGACGGUUGUCCCGGUUUAAGCAUGUAGGCGGGUGUUCCAGGUAAAUCCGGAACGCUGUUAACGCUGAGGUGUGACGACGAGGCACUACGGUGCUGAAGCAACAAAUGCCCUGCUUCCAGGAAAAGCCUCUAAGCAUCAGGUAACAUCAAAUCGUACCCCAAACCGACACAGGUGGUCAGGUAGAGAAUACCAAGGCGCUUGAGAGAACUCGGGUGAAGGAACUAGGCAAAAUGGUGCCGUAACUUCGGGAGAAGGCACGCUGACACGUAGGUGAAGUGAUUUACUCAUGGAGCUGAAGUCAGUCGAAGAUACCAGCUGGCUGCAACUGUUUAUUAAAAACACAGCACUGUGCAAACACGAAAGUGGACGUAUACGGUGUGACGCCUGCCCGGUGCCGGAAGGUUAAUUGAUGGGGUCAGCGCAAGCGAAGCUCCUGAUCGAAGCCCCGGUAAACGGCGGCCGUAACUAUAACGGUCCUAAGGUAGCGAAAUUCCUUGUCGGGUAAGUUCCGACCUGCACGAAUGGCGUAAUGAUGGCCAGGCUGUCUCCACCCGAGACUCAGUGAAAUUGAACUCGCUGUGAAGAUGCAGUGUACCCGCGGCAAGACGGAAAGACCCCGUGAACCUUUACUAUAGCUUGACACUGAACAUUGAGCCUUGAUGUGUAGGAUAGGUGGGAGGCUUUGAAGUGUGGACGCCAGUCUGCAUGGAGCCGACCUUGAAAUACCACCCUUUAAUGUUUGAUGUUCUAACGUGGACCCGUGAUCCGGGUUGCGGACAGUGUCUGGUGGGUAGUUUGACUGGGGCGGUCUCCUCC